This 754-nucleotide long non-coding RNA is filed under the name Cyanistes caeruleus (blue tit). Its description in RNAcentral is "lncRNA (ENSCCEG00000015322.1)". The record is from RNAcentral. Lineage: Eukaryota; Metazoa; Chordata; Aves; Passeriformes; Paridae.
CUCAGGGCCCACAGGGACAAUUGUGUGGGAGGGACAAUUCCCAACAUCUGCCUCCACCCUGGGCUCGGGGAAGCUCCUGGGGACCGGGAACGGAGCAGUCUGGGCACAGCAGGGGAAGGAGCCGGCUCUGGAGCAUCAAGUGGCCGCCUUGGCACCGCCAGCGCGUCCGGCCCUCGCCAUCUGCACCAACCAUCAAAGCUCCCUUCGAAACCCGCAUUUGCUGUAAAUUAGAACAUCUCCGACUCUUGGCUGAUCAGAAAUAUUCGGAAAUUCAUCGUGCGGAGAGCGGUGUCACUGGGGCUAUUUAUAAACACGGAGCUGGCACAAAAUGCCAUUCAGCAAAUUCCUUUUUUUAGGUUGCUUCUCUCCACACCCCCCUCCCCGCUCCUUUUUUCCCUUUCUGUUUCCAGCUCCAAAGUGAGACGUUUCUGAUCCGAGCGGGGAUGCUGCGGUAGGUGGCACUCCUCCCUCUCAACUCCAGCAGGAUCCUGCUUUCCUGGAGCACCGGGAAUGCCGUGCCUGCAGCAUCCCUGGAGCAUCCGAGGUGUGAAGAGCAGGUGCUGGGCUCGUUCCCGGUGGGAAGGGUGUCCCCAGAGCUCCCUGCAGCUUUAACCGGAGCUGUGCCCUCUGAUCCCAGCCCGGGAAGGCACCAGGCUCUGUCUGGGCUGCUCCUGCUCCUGCCCAAGGGGCUGGAGCUGCUCGAGGAAGGAAGCACCGCAGACACACAAAAUAAAUGAAAAAUAUCUUAUUACCC